CUUGCUUUCUUUUGCUGGCGACCGGCGCACGGGUGAGUAACACGUAUCCAACCUGCCCUUUACUCGGGGAUAGCCUUUCGAAAGAAAGAUUAAUACCCGAUAGUAUAAUGAUUCCGCAUGGUUUCAUUAUUAAAGGAUUCCGGUAAAGGAUGGGGAUGCGUUCCAUUAGGUUGUUGGUGAGGUAACGGCUCACCAAGCCUUCGAUGGAUAGGGGUUCCGAGAGGAAGGUCCCCCACAUUGGAACUGAGACACGGUCCAA
This 259-nucleotide ribosomal RNA is filed under the name uncultured bacterium. Its description in RNAcentral is "partial 16S ribosomal RNA". It matches the Rfam family "Bacterial small subunit ribosomal RNA", at positions 72 to 334 of the family's 1533-position model. The record is from RNAcentral.